This 301-nucleotide ribosomal RNA is filed under the name uncultured bacterium. Its description in RNAcentral is "partial 16S ribosomal RNA". It matches the Rfam family "Bacterial small subunit ribosomal RNA", at positions 509 to 808 of the family's 1533-position model. The record is from RNAcentral.
CAGUCGCCGCGGGAAUACGUAGGGUGCAAGCGUUAAUCGGAAUUACUGGGCGUAAAGCGUGCGCAGGCGGUUUUGUAAGACAGAGGUGAAAUCCCCGGGCUCAACCUGGGAACUGCCUUUGUGACUGCAAGGCUAGAGUACGGCAGAGGGGGAUGGAAUUCCGCGUGUAGCAGUGAAAUGCGUAGAUAUGCGGAGGAACACCGAUGGCGAAGGCAAUCCCCUGGGCCUGUACUGACGCUCAUGCACGAAAGCGUGGGGAGCAAACAGGAUUAGAUACCCGGGUGUCCCUGUCUCUUAUACC